RNAcentral lists this ribosomal RNA (272 nucleotides) under uncultured soil bacterium. Its description in RNAcentral is "partial 16S ribosomal RNA". It matches the Rfam family "Bacterial small subunit ribosomal RNA", at positions 26 to 299 of the family's 1533-position model. The record is from RNAcentral.
AGAUUGAACGCUGGCGGCAUGCCUUACACAUGCAAGUCGAACGGCAGCACGGGAGCAAUCCUGGUGGCGAGUGGCGAACGGGUGAGUAAUACAUCGGAACGUGCCCAAUCGUGGGGGGAUAACGCAGCGAAAGCUGUGCUAAUACCGCAUAAGAUCUACGGAUGAAAGCAGGGGAUCGCAAGACCUUGCGCGAAUGGAGCGGCCGAUGGCAGAUUAGGUAGUUGGUGAGGUAAAGGCUCACCAAGCCUUCGAUCUGUAGCUGGUCUGAGAGG